GUCUGUGUAGCUUACAACUAAAGCAUGACACUGAAGAUGUCAAGACGGCUGCUACAAACACCCACAGACA
Molecule: transfer RNA, 70 nt
Filed under: Cinclosoma punctatum
Lineage: Eukaryota; Metazoa; Chordata; Aves; Passeriformes; Cinclosomatidae
Description: tRNA-Phe
Rfam family: tRNA
About the family: Transfer RNA (tRNA) molecules are approximately 80 nucleotides in length. Their secondary structure includes four short double-helical elements and three loops (D, anti-codon, and T loops).
Source: RNAcentral